Salvelinus fontinalis (brook trout) is the source of this 437-nucleotide long non-coding RNA. RefSeq lists it as uncharacterized. The transcript is spliced from 4 exons. Lineage: Eukaryota; Metazoa; Chordata; Actinopteri; Salmoniformes; Salmonidae. The record is from RefSeq and is a predicted model, not a curated record.
GUCAUAGUUACAGAGCAUGCCAAUCAUGCCAGGGACCACCUGAAGACAGAGGCGGAGUUAAAGAAAUAUGAUGGAGUGGUGUGUGUGGGCGGGGACGGCAUGUUCAGCGAGAUAGUUCACGGCCUGGUCUCGAACACAGGGAUAACGGAGUGGACCAGAACAGCCCGGAGGAGAAGCUGGUACCCUGUAGUCUCCGCAUUGGCAUUAUAUCCGCAGGUUCAACGGACUGCAUCUGCUAUGCCACUGCCGGCAUCAAUGACCCUGUGACCUCAGCUUUACAUGUCAUAGUGGGAGACUUCCAGCCAAUGGACUUGUGCUCGGUCCAUCACAACACAUUCUUGAGGUAUUCCAUCUCCCUGCUUGGAUACGGUUUCUCUGGUGACGUGCUGGCAGACAGCGAGAGGAAACGCUGGAUGGGACCAGCCAGAUAUGACUUU